UUGGUUUGUGCUGUGGUAGAACGUUUUU
Molecule: non-coding RNA, 28 nt
Filed under: Mus musculus (house mouse)
Lineage: Eukaryota; Metazoa; Chordata; Mammalia; Rodentia; Muridae
Source: RNAcentral